CACACACUCACCAGAUGACUUCUUCACUACUGUGUAAUCCUCAACAGUUAUCAAGUAAAUGAUCUCUAGGGUGAGGUCUAAUAUCCUCGCAGCCAUGUGGUUUCUGCCCUCGUCUAUCCUUGGUGGGUCAUUGAAAGAAAACUUUCCGUGUAAGAGGCCUGUAUCUGAGGAAUAUGUCGGAAGACAAAUGAGAACUAGGUGUAAACUCACAUCUUACAUUAAGUAUAGAGCCUCACUAAUGGGGAGUUUUAAAGGAUUAGUUAGAUCAUACAAUGGUGGUGACUUGAGGAACCGUUAACUUUGUUUCUUGGAAGUCUCCACGACAGCACAUCAGACAUUGCCACAUCCUGAAGGGAGAGGAAAGACACAGAGAGGUAAAUGAUCACCAUCUGCAGCGGACCACUCCACCCGAAGCCCCCACAUCAAGUUGUUAAAGGAAUAAAAGUUUUUGUUGUGACGCCAGUUGCAUUUCAGCAACGAGGACAUAGAGUCCCCUUUUAGUGAUGUGGUUAGUGGUUCCCAAUAUAGGAAUGUCAAAAUGGUGUAGGGUGGCCUACAAUGUCCCUGUAGAUGUUGUUAUGCACAUGUCAGACUGAGGGAAAUAUGGGUGCUGUCAUGGAGACUAUGAAGAAACCCAAUUACCAGUAUACCUGUAUAUAAUUGUUUUUAAUCCCAGUUAUCUCCAGAACAGUACAAGAGAUUUAACAAAUGUUUAAUACCGGGAGGGGGGGGGGGGGACCUGUAACUUUAGGACGGCCCAGCGCCGUGUAGGCUGCCCAUGACAUCAAGUCUUUAGACUUAUGUUGUCACUCUGCAUAUUAAUUUUACAGGAGCUGACCCUUUCUUCCCAGGAGAUCAUCGUAAGAAAGGGUAGGGAUUGCUUCAAUCCCCACUGAUUGACUUUCUCCAAGAAUUAAGGGGGGAAUUUAUCAAACUGGAGUAAAGUAGAACUGGCUUAGUUGCCCAUAGCAACC
Bufo bufo (common toad) is the source of this 974-nucleotide long non-coding RNA. RefSeq lists it as uncharacterized. The record is from RefSeq and is a predicted model, not a curated record. NCBI's taxonomy places the organism in Eukaryota, Metazoa, Chordata, Amphibia, Anura, Bufonidae. The transcript has 3 exons.